Long non-coding RNA from Pelmatolapia mariae (spotted tilapia), 204 nucleotides. RefSeq lists it as uncharacterized. NCBI's taxonomy places the organism in Eukaryota, Metazoa, Chordata, Actinopteri, Cichliformes, Cichlidae. The transcript is spliced from 3 exons. The record is from RefSeq and is a predicted model, not a curated record.
GGAUGAUCACAAGGCCUACUUAAGACGGCAGCACUGCAUUACUCGUCGCUGGAUCGUUGAGCUAUCAGCGUCAGUCACUCAACCGUUCGAGCUGCUGGCCAAAGGCCUCGUGCCUAAACAGAGAAAGUUGGGUGAGGAACAUGAAGACGAGGAGGAAGAGGAGAAAUGCCCAAUUUGCUUGGCUAUCAUGGAGGAGGGGGAGGA